This 67-nucleotide transfer RNA is filed under the name Dolichovespula saxonica. Its description in RNAcentral is "tRNA-Phe". It matches the Rfam family "tRNA". From Rfam's summary of the family: Transfer RNA (tRNA) molecules are approximately 80 nucleotides in length. Lineage: Eukaryota; Metazoa; Arthropoda; Insecta; Hymenoptera; Vespidae. The record is from RNAcentral.
AUUUAAAUAGCUUAAUUUUAGAGCAUAAUAUUGAAGAUAUUAAAGUAACAUUUAUUGUUUUUAAAUA